RNAcentral lists this ribosomal RNA (584 nucleotides) under Meyerozyma guilliermondii. RNAcentral describes it as "partial large subunit ribosomal RNA". It matches the Rfam family "Eukaryotic large subunit ribosomal RNA", at positions 53 to 653 of the family's 3401-position model. Lineage: Eukaryota; Fungi; Ascomycota; Pichiomycetes; Serinales; Debaryomycetaceae. The record is from RNAcentral.
GAGGAAAAGAAACCAACAGGGAUUGCCUUAGUAGCGGCGAGUGAAGCGGCAAAAGCUCAAAUUUGAAAUCUGGCGCCUUCGGUGUCCGAGUUGUAAUUUGAAGAUUGUAACCUUGGGGUUGGCUCUUGUCUAUGUUUCUUGGAACAGGACGUCACAGAGGGUGAGAAUCCCGUGCGAUGAGAUGCCCAAUUCUAUGUAAGGUGCUUUCGAAGAGUCGAGUUGUUUGGGAAUGCAGCUCUAAGUGGGUGGUAAAUUCCAUCUAAAGCUAAAUAUUGGCGAGAGACCGAUAGCGAACAAGUACAGUGAUGGAAAGAUGAAAAGAACUUUGAAAAGAGAGUGAAAAAGUACGUGAAAUUGUUGAAAGGGAAGGGUUUGAGAUCAGACUCGAUAUUUUGUGAGCCUUGCCUUCGUGGCGGGGUGACCCGCAGCUUAUCGGGCCAGCAUCGGUUUGGGCGGUAGGAUAAUGGCGUAGGAAUGUGACUUUACUUCGGUGAAGUGUUAUAGCCUGCGUUGAUGCUGCCUGCCUAGACCGAGGACUGCGAUUUUAUCAAGGAUGCUGGCAUAAUGAUCCCAAACCGCCCGUU